CAGUCGCCGCGGGAAUACGGAGGGUGCAAGCGUUAAUCGGAAUUACUGGGCGUAAAGCGCACGCAGGCGGUCUGACAAGUCAGAUGUGAAAUCCCCGGGCUUAACCUGGGAACUGCAUUUGAAACUGUCAGGCUGGAGUCUUGUAGAGGGGGGUAGAAUUCCAGGUGUAGCGGUGAAAUGCGUAGAGAUCUGGAGGAAUACCGGUGGCGAAGGCGGCCCACUGGACAAAGACUGACGCUCAGGUGCGAAAGCGUGGGGAGCAAACAGGAUUAGAUACCCCUGUAGUCCCUGUCUCUUAUAC
This 301-nucleotide ribosomal RNA is filed under the name uncultured bacterium. RNAcentral's name for it is "partial 16S ribosomal RNA". It matches the Rfam family "Bacterial small subunit ribosomal RNA", at positions 509 to 807 of the family's 1533-position model. The record is from RNAcentral.